GUGCUCACUUUGGUAGUACAUAUACUAAAAUUGGAAGGAUACAGAGAAGAUUAGCACGGCCCCAGGGCAAGGAUGACAUGCAAAUUUGUAAAGCAUUCUACAUUAAA
Neogale vison (American mink) is the source of this 107-nucleotide small nuclear RNA. The record is from Ensembl. Lineage: Eukaryota; Metazoa; Chordata; Mammalia; Carnivora; Mustelidae.